This is a non-coding RNA of Cinara cedri, 292 nucleotides long. NCBI's taxonomy places the organism in Eukaryota, Metazoa, Arthropoda, Insecta, Hemiptera, Aphididae. The record is from the annotation of a GenBank genome assembly.
UUAGUAUAGAAUACCAGAACAUGCGCGUUGAAAACAUACGGAAGUGAGUGCACGAUGCACAUUGUGAAACGCCCGCACAUUAUCGAUAAAACAAUAUAAUUGGACGUAGUUAAAUAUUGUCGCGACGCUGUGCCGGCGACGAUUAACAAAAGGAAAAAAAAGCAAGAGGCGUAUGGGCGUGUUCGUAAAAACUAAUUUCUUAUCACCUACAAGAUCGAAAUCUACUCCAUUCUGUUAUUUGAGUGGUGAAAAAUUAAUGGCAUUUGGAAAAGCACCACACGCCACGUCACGC